This 253-nucleotide ribosomal RNA is filed under the name uncultured bacterium. RNAcentral describes it as "partial 16S ribosomal RNA". It matches the Rfam family "Bacterial small subunit ribosomal RNA", at positions 524 to 776 of the family's 1533-position model. The record is from RNAcentral.
UACAGAGGGGGCAAGCGUUGUUCGGAAUUACUGGGCGUAAAGGGCGCGUAGGCGGCCUUCUAAGUCGAACGUGAAAUCCCCGAGCUCAACCCGGGAACUGCGUCCGAGACUGGAAGGCUCGAAUCCGGGAGAGGGAUGUGGAAUUCCAGGUGUAGCGGUGAAAUGCGUAGAUAUCUGGAGGAACAUCGGUGGCGAAGGCGGCAUCCUGGACCGGUAUUGACGCUGAGGCGCGAAAGCCAGGGGAGCAAACGGG